UCCAAAUUGUUGGUCUAGGCUUUGUUGGCUUUUGACAAUUGUCUUCACAUUCUGUUUCUUUGUCUGUGAAGUUCAUUGAUUUCAAGAUUGGAGCUGAAUCUGGAUACAUUAGAUUUGAAGAACCUGAAGGAGCUCAAAAAGCUCGGGCAGCUGCAGUCCUAGCUAAAGAAGGUGGCCUGAUUGUGAAGAAUUUUAUUGCCAUUCUAGAACCGGUUACUGGUGAGGCUGAAAAGGAAUACUGGAGCCUACUUCGAGGUAAUCAAGAACGGCACCGUGAAAAUAAGGGUGGUAACCACCGAGGAAGGGGAGGGAAAUACAAUAGAGGUGGGAAGCACCCUCGCUUUAGAGAAAAUGAUUCUGCAACUGGUCGCCACAAUAAAGCUCAGAAAGUUGAAUCAGCAUGAGAGUAAUGAAACCCCAGAAUCAGUUCUGGGAUUAGUUUUGAUUUGUAUGACACCACCAUGAGAGCUUUUUGUUUCUUUUUUUGUUGAAUCUUUUUACGUUUUGGUGGAGAAGAGCAUGAUGCAGCUGUUCAAUCCCCUGGUGUUUUGUUACCUAUAAGUUUAGUCUAUGUUUCAUGACAUAAUAUUAAGUUUUUGUUUUUAUUUCAAAUAUAUUUAGUUUGUUGUUCA
Long non-coding RNA from Pistacia vera, 632 nucleotides. RefSeq lists it as uncharacterized. The transcript has 3 exons. The record is from RefSeq and is a predicted model, not a curated record. NCBI's taxonomy places the organism in Eukaryota, Viridiplantae, Streptophyta, Magnoliopsida, Sapindales, Anacardiaceae.